Molecule: ribosomal RNA, 221 nt
Filed under: uncultured bacterium
Lineage: Bacteria
Description: partial 16S ribosomal RNA
Rfam family: Bacterial small subunit ribosomal RNA
Source: RNAcentral
GGCGGACGGGUGAGUAACACGUGAGAAUUUGCCUUCAGAGGGGGACAACAACUGGAAACGGUUGCUAAUACCCCAUAUGCUUUCGAGUGAAAUGGAUUUAUUCGCCUGAAGAGAAGCUCGCGGCUGAUUAGCUUGUUGGUGGGGUAAGAGCCUACCAAGGCGACGAUCAGUAUCUGGUUUGAGAGGACGAUCAGACACACUGGAACUGAGACACGGUCCAG